RNAcentral lists this ribosomal RNA (533 nucleotides) under Lygodactylus capensis (Cape dwarf gecko). RNAcentral describes it as "partial 16S ribosomal RNA". It matches the Rfam family "Bacterial large subunit ribosomal RNA", at positions 1824 to 2597 of the family's 2925-position model. Lineage: Eukaryota; Metazoa; Chordata; Lepidosauria; Squamata; Gekkonidae. The record is from RNAcentral.
GGCCUUUAGCCCCCUAAGUAUUAAAGGUCCAACCUGCCCAGUGAAAGCUUUUAAACGGCCACGGUACCCUAACCGUGCAAAGGUAGCACAAUCACUUGCCCUUUAAAUAGGGGCUAGUAUGAACGGUUUAAUGAGGGUUUAACUGUCUCCUAGGGUUAACCAAUGAACCUGAUAAUUCAGUACAAACGCUGAAAUAUAAUCAUAAGACAAGAAGACCCUGUGGAACUUCAAGUUUACCGUUGACCUUAAUCUUCUAACACGCCCUCAACACAAAACUUAAGUUGGGGCAACUGCGGGGUAAAACCAAACCCCCAUGAAAUAUAACUAGCAAUUAUACAAUAGGCCCACACGCCACAUAUAUGCUGUUCGACCCAGUUCACACUGAUCACCGAACCAAGCUACCCCAGGGAUAACAGCGCUAUCCCCUUAAAGAGUCCAUAUCGCCAAGGGGGUUUACGACCUCGAUGUUGGAUCAGGACACCCAGGCGGUGCAGCCGCUGCCAAAGGUUCGUUUGUUCAACGAAUAAAGUCCU